AGGAGGAGGAGGAUGCUAUGUGACAUCUCACAGGUUGUCAUGACCCCGGAAGACACUCAGAUCCGUGUUAAAAUGUUGGACCCACUUCCAAGAGAGCUAAAUAGAGUUGUCUUAUUACAUCAGAGGGUGGAUAAAGAUAUCAUGAUUUUCUAUUGCCUGGGACAGGGCCUCAUGGUGAAGAAAGGUGUCAAAACAAAAGCACUUCAACUUCAGGAGCAAAAACCAAGACACUAGAGUCAGAGUUAACAUUCCCUUCAAGGCUGUGUGCAGCUUUACAGCUCAAGCAUGCCAGGGCUACCGUGAGGCAUCAUUCCCAGGGCAGCAAGGAGCCCUGGAGGGUCCCUUGAAGUGGAAAGGGAUGUUUCUUGAGUGGCAUAUUGAGAAAGAACAAUAGCUGGGGGCUUCUGGGGGCAAAGCUUUCGGCUUACACCGGUGGGUACCUGAUGAAAUACAUCACAAUGUGUCAUUGAAGUGUGGAGCCUUGCAGCCCCGUGGGGUCACCUGUCCCUCCCCCUGCUCAGGCAGAUCAUUCCUCACACUCUGUUUCUGAGCUCUUUGUCCGGUGGCUUUGUGCACCUCAAGCGAUGGGGCUUCCACCUCCUCCCUUGGGAUGCCAUUCCACACUCAAAUAGAGCCAGCUCCUAAGCAGGCUGUCCUGAUAUUCAGCCCAACUUUUCCUUUCUGUAAUUACAUCCCAUUCCUCUCGGCUUUACCCCUUGGCGUGACCCCGGACAAUUCUUUCCCUUCAUCGGUGUGCCUACACCCUUGCUCGGGGAGUGUAUUUGAUCCUCCGGUCUUUUUGUCCUGCCCGAGCCUUGCUUAUUCCUGGCUUGUGCUGCGGGAGUCCUUAUGAGCAGCUCCUGCUGCUCUCUGCUUUAAUCCUCGUGGCUCCCCUGCUUUGAUUUCUGUCCAAUUUGCCUAUUUCUUUCAGGGGUACUGAAGAGCCCCGAAUGAACCCUGGGCUUCUUCACUAUAUUAUUUAUUAAUCUUUUAUAUGGGAGAUCUUCUCAAUGAUGAUAAAGCAGGUUGGCUGGAAAAUAAAAAAUCCCUUUGAAAGACAGAGUUGAUGUGAACUCCUGUGAUCAGGACUCUGGGCACUUCAGAGAGAAAUGAGUUUGCAGUCCCACCACCCAGCCCUCUGAUACCCAGGCAGCUGUACUUCCUUGUACUGCAGAGGGCAAAGGAGGCUGGGAUUUAGGGCACAGAUGGAUCAGAGUGGCCCUCCCCAGUCAGUCUCUCUCACCCAGACUGUUCCCCAAGGCCAGACUCCGGGUUGCCCCUCAACAACCCUUCAUUUGACUCCCCUCCCUCCAUGAUUGGUGUGACUGGAUGGGAUCAUCCUGACUUUUUUUUCUGAAUCAGCUCAGUAUUUUUCCCCACUUUCUUCUAUGGUGCCUCCUGUAUUUCUUUCGUCUUCACGUACCCCCUAGUAAGCUUCAUGUAGAACUUACCUUGAUCGCAAUAUUCUGUUGGGGGCAAGAGCCAAUGUAAUUAAAAUAACAAGACAGAGAGUUCUGGCUGGCUUGGGGUUUCCAGUCACAAGUGGGAGAACAGUAGGUGGAGGCUAAAAUGCAAGUGUAGUUGAAUGAUGCGGGGCUGUGAAGCAAGAGUGACCUGGAGCCCAUAUGAAUUCCAUCAAGCUUGAGAACGGCGCAUUGCCAGGCAUGGUCAUGCAUGCCUGUGGAGGCAGAAGCAGGUUCAUCUUUGUGAGGGCCAGGUCAGCUUGGUCUAUACAACAGGUUCCAGGUUAGCGGGAGCUACAUAGUGAGAUGUGUCUUGGGAUCAUUUUUAACAGAAUCGGUUUAAGGGACCAGCCAUGCAUGAUCAGUAGACAGGGAAAAUCAAGGCCUAGGCAAGAAAGAUGGUUAGCAAGAUGUCAAGUCAAGUAUAUAUAUAUACAAAGCUUCACUGUUUAGUGUUGACAAAGAGC
This 1930-nucleotide long non-coding RNA is filed under the name Mus musculus (house mouse). RNAcentral's name for it is "long non-coding RNA chr11:44776962-44778892". The record is from RNAcentral. Lineage: Eukaryota; Metazoa; Chordata; Mammalia; Rodentia; Muridae.